CCGCAUAAGCCCACGGGUCGGCAUCGACCAGAGGGAAAAGGAGCAAUCCGCUUUGAGAUGGCCUCGCGUCCGAUUAGCUAGUUGGUGAGGUAACGGCCCACCAAGGCGACGAUCGGUAGCCGGACUGAGAGGUUGAACGGCCACAUUGGGACUGAGACACGGCCCAGACUCCUACGGGAGGCAGCAGUGGGGAAUAUUGCACAAUGGGGGAAACCCUGAUGCAGCGACGCCGCGUGGAGGAAGAAGGUCUUCGGAUUGUAAACUCCUGUUGUUGGGGAAGAUAAUGACGGUACCCAACAAGGAAGUGACGGCUAACUACGUGCCAGCAGCCGCGGUAAAACGUAGGUCACAAGCGUUGUCCGGAAUUACUGGGUGUAAAGGGAGCGCAGGCGGGAAGACAAGUUGGAAGUGAAAUCUAUGGGCUCAACCCAUAAACUGCUUUCAAAACUGUUUUUCUUGAGUAGUGCAGAGGUAGGCGGAAUUCCCGGUGUAGCGGUGGAAUGCGUAGAUAUCGGGAGGAACACCAGUGGCGAAGGCGGCCUACUGGGCACCAACUGA
Molecule: ribosomal RNA, 558 nt
Filed under: uncultured Lachnospiraceae bacterium
Lineage: Bacteria; Bacillati; Bacillota; Clostridia; Lachnospirales; Lachnospiraceae
Description: bacterial SSU rRNA
Rfam family: Bacterial small subunit ribosomal RNA
Source: RNAcentral